Molecule: ribosomal RNA, 253 nt
Filed under: uncultured bacterium
Lineage: Bacteria
Description: partial 16S ribosomal RNA
Rfam family: Bacterial small subunit ribosomal RNA
Source: RNAcentral
UACGGAGGGGGCUAGCGUUAUUCGGAAUUACUGGGCGUAAAGCGUGCGCAGGCGGUUUUGCAAGCCAGAUGUGAAAUCCCCGGGCUCAACCUGGGAAUGGCAUUUGGGACUGCAAGGCUGGAGUGUGGCAGAGGAGACUGGAAUUCCUGGUGUAGCAGUGAAAUGCGUAGAUAUCAGGAGGAAUACCGAUGGCGAAGGCAGGUCUCUGGGCUGACACUGACGCUCAUGCACGAAAGCGUGGGGAGCAAACAGG